AGCAGCCGCGGUAAUUCCAGCUCCAAUAGCGUAUAUUAAAGUUGUUGCAGUUAAAAAGCUCGUAGUUGAACUUCGGAAUUUGCCCAUUGGUCAGGCUUAACUGUCUGAACUGGUGUGACGAGUUCCUACCUUCUGAGGAAUCUUCAUGCCAUUCAGUUGGUGUGGGGGGAAAUCAGGACUGUUACUUUGAAAAAAUUAGAGUGUUUAAAGCAGGCAUCCGUCUGAAUACAUUAGCAUGGAAUAAUAAAAUAGGACGGUUUGGUUCUAUUUUGUUGGUUUCUAGGAUCACCGUAAUGAUUAAUAGGGAUAGUUGGGGGCAUUAGUAUUCAAUUGUCAGAGGUGAAAUUCUUGGAUUUAUUGAAGACUAACUACUGCGAAAGCAUUUGCCAAGGAUGUUUUCAUUAAUCAAGAACGAAAGUUAGGGGAUCGAAGACGAUCAGAUACCGUCGU
This 450-nucleotide ribosomal RNA is filed under the name uncultured Glomeromycotina. RNAcentral describes it as "SSU rRNA". It matches the Rfam family "Eukaryotic small subunit ribosomal RNA", at positions 569 to 1021 of the family's 1831-position model. The record is from RNAcentral. Lineage: Eukaryota; Fungi; Glomeromycota.